RNAcentral lists this ribosomal RNA (970 nucleotides) under Lactobacillus sp. P9. RNAcentral's name for it is "bacterial SSU rRNA". It matches the Rfam family "Bacterial small subunit ribosomal RNA", at positions 57 to 994 of the family's 1533-position model. Lineage: Bacteria; Bacillati; Bacillota; Bacilli; Lactobacillales; Lactobacillaceae. The record is from RNAcentral.
GCAGUCGAGCGAGCGGAACAGCAGAAUCACUUCGGUGAGGACGCUGGGAAAGUGAGCGGCGGAUGGGUGAGUAACACGUGGGGAACCUGCCCUUAAGUCUGGGAUACCACUUGGAAACAGGUGCUAAUACCGGAUAAGAAAGCAGUUCGCAUGAACAGCUUUUAAAAGGCGGCGCAAGCUGUCGCUAAAGGAUGGACCCGCGGUGCAUUAGCUAGUUGGUAAGGUAACGGCCUACCAAGGCAGUGAUGCAUAGCCGAGUUGAGAGACUGAUCGGCCACAUUGGGACUGAGACACGGCCCAAACUCCUACGGGAGGCAGCAGUAGGGAAUCUUCCACAAUGGACGCAAGUCUGAUGGAGCAACGCCGCGUGAGUGAAGAAGGUUUUCGGACCGUAAAGCUCUGUUGUUGGUGAAGAAGGAUAGAGGUAGUAACUGGCCUUUAUUUGACGGUAAUCAACCAGAAAGUCACGGCUAACUACGUGCCAGCAGCCGCGGUAAUACGUAGGUGGCAAGCGUUGUCCGGAUUUAUUGGGCGUAAAGCGAGCGCAGGCGGAAGAAUAAGUCUGAUGUGAAAGCCCUCGGCUUAACCGAGGAAUUGCAUCGGAAACUGUUUUUCUUGAGUGCAGAAGAGGAGAGUAGAACUCCAUGUGUAGCGGUGGAAUGCGUAGAUAUAUGGAAGAAUACCAGUGGCGAAGGCGGCUCUCUGGUCUGCAACUGACGCUGAGGCUCGAAAGCAUGGGUAGCGAACAGGAUUAGAUACCCUGGUAGUCCAUGCCGUAAACGAUGAGUGCUAAGUGUUUGGGAGGCUUCCGCCUCUCAGUGCUGCAGCUAACGCAUUAAGCACUCCGCCUGGGGAGUACGACCGCAAGGUUGAAACUCAAAGGAAUUGACGGGGGCCCGCACAAGCGGUGGAGCAUGUGGUUUAAUUCGAAGCAACGCGAAGAACCUUACCAGGUCUUGACAUCUAGUGC